AGAGUUUGAUCCUGGCUCAGGAUGAACGCUGGCGGCGUGCCUAAUACAUGCAAGUCGAGCGAACGGACGAGAAGCUUGCUUCUCUGAUGUUAGCGGCGGACGGGUGAGUAACACGUGGAUAACCUACCUAUAAGACUGGGAUAACUUCGGGAAACCGGAGCUAAUACCGGAUAAUAUUUUGAACCGCAUGGUUCAAAAGUGAAAGACGGUCUUACUGUCACUUAUAGAUGGAUCCGCGCUGCAUUAGCUAGUUGGUAAGGUAACGGCUUACCAAGGCAACGAUGCAUAGCCGACCUGAGAGGGUGAUCGGCCACACUGGAACUGAGACACGGUCCAGACUCCUACGGGAGGCAGCAGUAGGGAAUCUUCCGCAAUGGGCGAAAGCCUGACGGAGCAACGCCGCGUGAGUGAUGAAGGUCUUCGGAUCGUAAAACUCUGUUAUUAGGGAAGAACAUAUGUGUAAGUAACUGUGCACAUCUUGACGGUACCUAAUCAGAAAGCCACGGCUAACUACGUGCCAGCAGCCGCGGUAAUACGUAGGUGGCAAGCGUUAUCCGGAAUUAUUGGGCGUAAAGCGCGCGUAGGCGGUUUUUUAAGUCUGAUGUGAAAGCCCACGGCUCAACCGUGGAGGGUCAUUGGAAACUGGAAAACUUGAGUGCAGAAGAGGAAAGUGGAAUUCCAUGUGUAGCGGUGAAAUGCGCAGAGAUAUGGAGGAACACCAGUGGCGAAGGCGACUUUCUGGUCUGUAACUGACGCUGAUGUGCGAAAGCGUGGGGAUCAAACAGGAUUAGAUACCCUGGUAGUCCACGCCGUAAACGAUGAGUGCUAAGUGUUAGGGGGUUUCCGCCCCUUAGUGCUGCAGCUAACGCAUUAAGCACUCCGCCUGGGGAGUACGACCGCAAGGUUGAAACUCAAAGGAAUUGACGGGGACCCGCACAAGCGGUGGAGCAUGUGGUUUAAUUCGAAGCAACGCGAAGAACCUUACCAAAUCUUGACAUCCUUUGACAACUCUAGAGAUAGAGCUUUCCCCUUCGGGGGACAAAGUGACAGGUGGUGCAUGGUUGUCGUCAGCUCGUGUCGUGAGAUGUUGGGUUAAGUCCCGCAACGAGCGCAACCCUUAAGCUUAGUUGCCAUCAUUAAGUUGGGCACUCUAAGUUGACUGCCGGUGACAAACCGGAGGAAGGUGGGGAUGACGUCAAAUCAUCAUGCCCCUUAUGAUUUGGGCUACACACGUGCUACAAUGGACAAUACAAAGGGCAGCGAAACCGCGAGGUCAAGCAAAUCCCAUAAAGUUGUUCUCAGUUCGGAUUGUAGUCUGCAACUCGACUACAUGAAGCUGGAAUCGCUAGUAAUCGUAGAUCAGCAUGCUACGGUGAAUACGUUCCCGGGUCUUGUACACACCGCCCGUCACACCACGAGAGUUUGUAACACCCGAAGCCGGUGGAGUAACCUUUUAGGAGCUAGCCGUCGAAGGUGGGACAAAUGAUUGGGGUGAAGUCGUAACAAGGUAGCCGUAUCGGAAGGUGCGGCUGGAUCACCUCCUUU
This 1545-nucleotide ribosomal RNA is filed under the name Staphylococcus aureus. RNAcentral describes it as "16S ribosomal RNA". It matches the Rfam family "Bacterial small subunit ribosomal RNA". The record is from RNAcentral. Lineage: Bacteria; Bacillati; Bacillota; Bacilli; Caryophanales; Staphylococcaceae.